Molecule: ribosomal RNA, 305 nt
Filed under: uncultured bacterium
Lineage: Bacteria
Description: bacterial SSU rRNA
Rfam family: Bacterial small subunit ribosomal RNA
Source: RNAcentral
UAGCCUACGGGACGCAGCAGUGAGGAAUAUUGGUCAAUGGACGGAAGUCUGAACCAGCCAUGCCGCGUGCAGGAAGACGGCUCUAUGAGUUGUAAACUGCUUUUGUACAAGGGUAAACCUGAAUACGUGUAUUCAGCUGAAAGUACUGUACGAAUAAGGAUCGGCUAACUCCGUGCCAGCAGCCGCGGUAAUACGGAGGAUCCAAGCGUUAUCCGGAUUUAUUGGGUUUAAAGGGUGCGUAGGCGGACUGGAAAGUCAGCGGUAAAAUCGAGAGGCUCAACCUCUUUCCGCCGUUGAAACUGUCG